Molecule: transfer RNA, 72 nt
Filed under: Collybiopsis luxurians FD-317 M1
Lineage: Eukaryota; Fungi; Basidiomycota; Agaricomycetes; Agaricales; Omphalotaceae
Also listed under: 1 other name
Description: tRNA-Gln (TTG) (tRNA-Gln-TTG-1 1 to 5)
Rfam family: tRNA
About the family: Transfer RNA (tRNA) molecules are approximately 80 nucleotides in length.
Source: RNAcentral
GGUCUAAUAGUGUAGAGGUUAGCACAUGGGAUUUUGAUUCCCAUAACCCAGGUUCGAGUCCUGGUUAGACCU